UACGUAGGGCGCAAGCGUUGUCCGGAAUUAUUGGGCGUAAAGAGCUCGUAGGCGGUUUGUCGCGUCUGUCGUGAAAGCUUGGGGCUUAACCCCAAGUCUGCGGUGGAUACGGGCAGACUAGAGGCAGGUAGGGGAGAACGGAAUUCCCGGUGUAGCGGUGAAAUGCGCAGAUAUCAGGAGGAAUACCGAUGGCGAAGGCAGGUCUCUGGGCUGAUACUGACGCUCAUGCACGAAAGCGUGGGGAGCAAACAGG
RNAcentral lists this ribosomal RNA (253 nucleotides) under uncultured bacterium. RNAcentral's name for it is "partial 16S ribosomal RNA". It matches the Rfam family "Bacterial small subunit ribosomal RNA", at positions 524 to 776 of the family's 1533-position model. The record is from RNAcentral.